Molecule: small nuclear RNA, 106 nt
Organism: Balaenoptera musculus (blue whale)
Lineage: Eukaryota; Metazoa; Chordata; Mammalia; Artiodactyla; Balaenopteridae
Source: Ensembl
GUGCUUGCUUCAGCUGCACAUAUUCUAAAAUUGGAAUGAUACAGAGAAGAUUAGCAUGGCACUUUGCAAGGAUGAUGCACAAAUUUGUGAAGCGUUCCAUAUUUUU